UUGUAAAGUGAUUGCAGAAGAUUGUAAUGAAAUGAAAGCUUAUAAAGAUAAUAGUUGUUGUAUAUUAUAGUUGAUCUUAGUGUUGUUUUAAAGCAUAUGAAGCACUCUCUCGUAUUUAGAAAUAUAUCAAAGGGUAAAAAGCAAUUCUAUUUAAAUAAUAUUAGUCAGAAAAA
This 173-nucleotide small RNA is filed under the name Rickettsia prowazekii. Its description in RNAcentral is "partial sR57 non-coding RNA". The record is from RNAcentral. Lineage: Bacteria; Pseudomonadati; Pseudomonadota; Alphaproteobacteria; Rickettsiales; Rickettsiaceae.